Molecule: ribosomal RNA, 253 nt
Filed under: uncultured bacterium
Lineage: Bacteria
Description: partial 16S ribosomal RNA
Rfam family: Bacterial small subunit ribosomal RNA
Source: RNAcentral
CACGUAGGGCGCAAGCGUUGUCCGGAAUUAUUGGGCGUAAAGAGCUCGUAGGCGGUUUGUCGCGUCUGCCGUGAAAGUCCGGGGCUCAACUCCGGAUCUGCGGUGGGUACGGGCAGACUAGAGUGAUGUAGGGGAGACUGGAAUUCCUGGUGUAGCGGUGAAAUGCGCAGAUAUCAGGAGGAACACCGAUGGCGAAGGCAGGUCUCUGGGCCAUAACUGACGCUGAGAAGCGAAAGCAUGGGGAGCGAACAGG